Molecule: transfer RNA, 58 nt
Filed under: Gossypium arboreum
Lineage: Eukaryota; Viridiplantae; Streptophyta; Magnoliopsida; Malvales; Malvaceae
Rfam family: tRNA
About the family: Transfer RNA (tRNA) molecules are approximately 80 nucleotides in length. Their secondary structure includes four short double-helical elements and three loops (D, anti-codon, and T loops).
Source: Rfam by way of RNAcentral
UAGCUCAGUUGGUAGAGCAGAGGACUGAAAAUCCUCGUGUCACCAGUUUAAAUCUGGU